Molecule: long non-coding RNA, 798 nt
Filed under: Erythranthe guttata (spotted monkey flower)
Lineage: Eukaryota; Viridiplantae; Streptophyta; Magnoliopsida; Lamiales; Phrymaceae
Description: long non-coding RNA (EGUT_LNC003842)
Source: RNAcentral
AUCAAUGAAAUAAUAUAGAUAUGAAUCCAAAACUUCCACUACAAGGGAGUACAGUAUCCAAAAGAAAUGCAUGAAAAUUCUUAAAUUUCUGGUUCCAAAAUUACAAGCUAUAGCAGAGCUCAUAACUCAAGAAUAGUUGUCCUCCAAGGAUAUGAGCACUACAUCAUCAGUUCGUCACCGUGCACAACACUUCUUAUCUCGGCCAAGCAAACCGAUGCAAAGAUUAUAUAUUCAAAUCUGCAACACAUAAUCUCGUAGCUCAGUCGAAGACAUCAAGUGCAUGUACAAUUGAUAAUAGAAAAUAACAUAAUUGAUGCAAAGAUUACAUAUGAAUUUCAUUUUGAUAAGAAAAGAUUUGAAGUUAAUUAUUACGAGAUCACAAUAACAAACACAUUCAGCUUGUUUGGAUGGAAUUCACUUUGAAAUGAAAUUCAAAUCGUUAGCUCUCGUUUUGAAUCAAUUUACAAGUAAUUUGGCUUCGUUCGUGAAAAGGUGAAAGCAGCCAUACCUUUCUCCUUUGAUGAUUGUCAUCGAGAACGUGUUUGCUGCUACAUUAUCACCUUAUGUUACGAUUUUCUAUUCAAAAGUUUUAAUAAUAAGAAUAAGCUUCAUCAAUGAAUGAAAGAACUACUUAUUUUGCUCUGUUCUAAACCAGACCCCACACUAUGUAAUAUCACUGUGAUUCUUCAAUCUGAAUCCUGCACUCUUGAAAUACAAAAGGAUAUAUUAGCAAAAUGUGCUCUAGAAUUAGAGAUAAAUCUUAUUGCCCCCUAAAACAUCAUUCAUGGAUUCUACAAC